This 479-nucleotide ribosomal RNA is filed under the name uncultured bacterium. Its description in RNAcentral is "partial 16S ribosomal RNA". It matches the Rfam family "Bacterial small subunit ribosomal RNA", at positions 28 to 506 of the family's 1533-position model. The record is from RNAcentral.
GAUGAACGCUAGCGGCAGGCCUAACACAUGCAAGUCGAGGGAGAGGUUACCUUUGGGUAACCAAUACCGGCGCACGGGUGCGUAACGCGUAUACAAUCUUCCUUUCUCAUAGGGAUAGCCCGCAGAAAUUUGGAUUAAUUCCUACUUGUAUCUUAGAGCGGCAUCGUUUUUAUAUUAAAGCUACGGUGUUUAAAGUUGAGUAUGCUUUCUAUUAGCUAGUUGUAGAGGUAACGGCUCCCCAAGGCGACGAUAGAUAGGGGUUCUGAGAGGGAUGUCCCCCACACUGAGACUGAGAUACGGACCAGACGACGACGGGAGGCAGCAGUGAGGAAUAUAGGACAAUGGGCGGAAGACUGAUCCAGCCAGGCCGCGUGCAGGAUGAAGGUCCUAUGGAGUGUAAACUGCUUUUGUAAGGGAAGAAUAAGGAGUACGUGUACUUUGAUGACGGUACAUUACGAAUAAGCAUCGGCAAACUCCGU